This 253-nucleotide ribosomal RNA is filed under the name uncultured bacterium. RNAcentral describes it as "partial 16S ribosomal RNA". It matches the Rfam family "Bacterial small subunit ribosomal RNA", at positions 524 to 776 of the family's 1533-position model. The record is from RNAcentral.
UACGUAGGUGGCAAGCGUUGUCCGGAUUUACUGGGCGUAAAGAGCGCGCAGGCGGUCGUACAAGUCGCGUGUGAAAGCCCCCGGCUCAACUGGGGAGGGUCACGCGAUACUGUUCGACUCGAAGGCAGGAGAGGGAAGUGGAAUUCCCGGUGUAGUGGUGAAAUGCGUAGAUGUCGGGAGGAACACCAGUGGCGAAGGCGACUUCCUGGCCUGUUCUUGACGCUGAGGCGCGAAAGCUAGGGUAGCAAACGGG